RNAcentral lists this transfer RNA (60 nucleotides) under Dipodomys ordii (Ord's kangaroo rat). It matches the Rfam family "tRNA", at positions 7 to 64 of the family's 71-position model. From Rfam's summary of the family: Transfer RNA (tRNA) molecules are approximately 80 nucleotides in length. Their secondary structure includes four short double-helical elements and three loops (D, anti-codon, and T loops). The record is from Rfam by way of RNAcentral. Lineage: Eukaryota; Metazoa; Chordata; Mammalia; Rodentia; Heteromyidae.
GUGGCUCAUUGGUAGAGUGCUUGCCUUGCAUGCAUGAGGUCCUGGGUUCAAUUCCUCAGC